Astatotilapia calliptera (eastern happy) is the source of this 1160-nucleotide long non-coding RNA. The record is from Ensembl. NCBI's taxonomy places the organism in Eukaryota, Metazoa, Chordata, Actinopteri, Cichliformes, Cichlidae.
GGGGAAAUACGGGAGAGAUGGGCUCUAAUUUGUGUUCUCAUGGUGUCCAAGCAUCUCCAAAGCACUUGAUCACCACCACAGCAGGCCUUGAUGCCAUGUGUGAGUGUAAAUGGUUCCAAGGCUCCCUGGUGGUAAAAAUCCCAUUGCCAGAAUGACCACCAACUCGAAAUGAAACAGUACCCUGUUUUUAAAAGGUCCCAUUAAAAAAAAGCGUUUUUUUUUUUUAAAGGCACAUAAGGUAGCAAUUUCCUUCAAAUAUGGUGUAGCCUGAUAACUGUUGAAGUAACUGACACCAUGUCGCCGUAAAUGAAAGAUUUUUACAGUGUGUAUGAAGCAUUAGUUAGAUUUAAGAUAGUAAAUGUUGAGGGCUUUUGUUGUUUUUUUUAACAAGUUCUAAUUGUAUGCAGACAUUUGCGACCUCCACACUGUAUUACAUUCUUGUCAUCACUGUAAUUCUUUGCCUCUUUUGUUUUACAGUAACAGCCAGAGUAGUAGGGUCUGUGUACAGAGUGAUUACUUUCUUCAUUCCAAAGCAUGCACAAAUCUGUUUUAAGUUCAAGAGAGGAGGAACCCUUUAAUUUAAACCCUGAAAUGAAGUCAUUCAUUCCCUGUUCAACUGCACUGCGACCCAUAAGGUUAGGUAAACAAGUGCCCCUUGCAUUACUGUCAAAAAGACCCAGCCCCUUGCUUUGCUGUGAUGUAAACUCCCUCAAUCUUUUUACAGUGUGCAUGAGGGGAAACUGGCUGGAGAUGGAGGAAGAUAUUUCUGUUUCUUUUUUUUUUUUUGAUAAAGGAGGGAAGCAAAGUCAGUACCUGAGUCUGUUCUCAGGAAGGUGUCCUACAAGGAAAAACGUUGCCUUGUUCCAAAGCAGAAAACUGAGGAAGGGAGGACAGGCCACAAAGCGCUGAGCCCAGCAGGCCUGCUCAGAUCUGUUACCAGCUCCAGCUCCAGCACGGCCUGGAAUGUGAAGAAUCCUACUGGGCUGGGGUUCUAGUGCAGGGGUCCAAACCUCACAUUGCUGCUCAUACUCAUUUUUCCUUCUCUCUUAGUAUUGUAUUUGGAUAGGUGAUUGUAAUGUAGCAGGAAUGUAGAGUGAGAGUUCUGCAGAGAGCUGUGGACAAAGUUGAAGCUGUAGUCGCGAAACAUAAGGAAUCUGCUC